GGGGCGGUAGCUCAGCUGGUCAGAGCAGCGGACUCAUAACCCGUCAGGUCGUGGGUUCGAACCCCACCCGCCCCACCA
RNAcentral lists this transfer RNA (78 nucleotides) under Pseudonocardia sp. Its description in RNAcentral is "tRNA-Ile". It matches the Rfam family "tRNA". From Rfam's summary of the family: Transfer RNA (tRNA) molecules are approximately 80 nucleotides in length. Their secondary structure includes four short double-helical elements and three loops (D, anti-codon, and T loops). Further hydrogen bonds mediate the characteristic L-shaped molecular structure. tRNAs have two regions of fundamental functional importance: the anti-codon, which is responsible for specific mRNA codon recognition, and the 3' end, to which the tRNAs corresponding amino acid is attached (by aminoacyl-tRNA synthetases). tRNAs cope with the degeneracy of the genetic code in two manners: having more than one tRNA (with a specific anti-codon) for a particular amino acid; and 'wobble' base-pairing, i.e. permitting non-standard base-pairing at the 3rd anti-codon position. Lineage: Bacteria; Bacillati; Actinomycetota; Actinomycetes; Pseudonocardiales; Pseudonocardiaceae. The record is from RNAcentral.